RNAcentral lists this ribosomal RNA (953 nucleotides) under uncultured microorganism. RNAcentral describes it as "bacterial SSU rRNA". It matches the Rfam family "Bacterial small subunit ribosomal RNA", at positions 8 to 916 of the family's 1533-position model. The record is from RNAcentral.
AGAGUUUGAUCAUGGCUCAGGAUGAACGCCGGCGGUGUGCCUAAUACAUGCAAGUCGUACGCACUGGCCCAACUGAUUGAUGGUGCUUGCACCUGAUUGACGAUGGAUCACCAGUGAGUGGCGGACGGGUGAGUAACACGUAGGUAACCUGCCCCGGAGCGGGGGAUAACAUUUGGAAACAGAUGCUAAUACCGCAUAACAACAAAAGCCACAUGGCUUUUGUUUGAAAGAUGGCUUUGGCUAUCACUCUGGGAUGGACCUGCGGUGCAUUAGCUAGUUGGUAAGGUAACGGCUUACCAAGGCGAUGAUGCAUAGCCGAGUUGAGAGACUGAUCGGCCACAAUGGAACUGAGACACGGUCCAUACUCCUACGGGAGGCAGCAGUAGGGAAUCUUCCACAAUGGGCGCAAGCCUGAUGGAGCAACACCGCGUGAGUGAAGAAGGGUUUCGGCUCGUAAAACUCUGUUGUUGGAGAAGAACGUGCGUGAGAGUAACUGUUCACGCAGUGACGGUAUCCAACCAGAAAGUCACGGCUAACUACGUGCCAGCAGCCGCGGUAAUACGUAGGUGGCAAGCGUUAUCCGGAUUUAUUGGGCGUAAAGCGAGCGCAGGCGGUUGCUUAGGUCUGAUGUGAAAGCCUUCGGCUUAACCGAAGAAGUGCAUCGGAAACCGGGCGACUUGAGUGCAGAAGAGGACAGUGGAACUCCAUGUGUAGCGGUGGAAUGCGUAGAUAUAUGGAAGAACACCAGUGGCGAAGGCGGCUGUCUGGUCUGCAACUGACGCUGAGGCUCGAAAGCAUGGGUAGCGAACAGGAUUAGAUACCCUGGUAGUCCAUGCCGUAAACGAUGAGUGCUAGGUGUUGGAGGGUUUCCGCCCUUCAGUGCCGGAGCUAACGCAUUAAGCACUCCGCCUGGGGAGUACGACCGCAAGGUUGAAACUCAAAGGAAUUGACGG